RNAcentral lists this ribosomal RNA (460 nucleotides) under Parvimonas micra. Its description in RNAcentral is "bacterial SSU rRNA". It matches the Rfam family "Bacterial small subunit ribosomal RNA", at positions 28 to 488 of the family's 1533-position model. Lineage: Bacteria; Bacillati; Bacillota; Tissierellia; Tissierellales; Peptoniphilaceae. The record is from RNAcentral.
GACGAACGCUGGCGGCGUGCUUAACACAUGCAAGUCGAACGUGAUUUUUGUGGAAAUUCUUUCGGGAAUGGAAAUGAAAUGAAAGUGGCGAACGGGUGAGUAACACGUGAGCAACCUACCUUACACAGGGGGAUAGCCGUUGGAAACGACGAUUAAUACCGCAUGAGACCACAGAAUCGCAUGAUAUAGGGGUCAAAGAUUUAUCGGUGUAAGAAGGGCUCGCGUCUGAUUAGCUAGUUGGAAGGGUAAAGGCCUACCAAGGCGACGAUCAGUAGCCGGUCUGAGAGGAUGAACGGCCACAUUGGAACUGAGACACGGUCCAAACUCCUACGGGAGGCAGCAGUGGGGAAUAUUGCACAAUGGGGGGAACCCUGAUGCAGCGACGCCGCGUGAGCGAAGAAGGUUUUCGAAUCGUAAAGCUCUGUCCUAUGAGAAGAUAAUGACGGUAUACAUAGGAGGA